RNAcentral lists this ribosomal RNA (405 nucleotides) under uncultured bacterium. Its description in RNAcentral is "partial 16S ribosomal RNA". It matches the Rfam family "Bacterial small subunit ribosomal RNA", at positions 30 to 526 of the family's 1533-position model. The record is from RNAcentral.
AUUGAACGCUGGCGGCAGGCUUAACACAUGCAAGUCUAACGAGUGGCGGACGGGUGAGUAAUGCUUGGGAAUAUAGCUUAUGGAGGGGGAUAACUACGGGCAACUGUAGCUAAUACCGCGUACCCUAGGAUGAGCCCAAGUGGGAUUAGGUAGUUGGGGAGGUAAAGGCUCACCAAGCCGACGACCUCUAGCUGGUCUGAGAGGAUGACAAGCCAACCUGGAACUGAGACACGGCCCAGACGCCUACGGGAGGCAGCAGUGGGGAAUAUUGCGCGAUGGGGGCAACCUGACGCAGCCAGGCCGCGUGAAUGAAGAAGGCCUUCGGGUUGUAAAGUUCUUUCGGUGGCGAGGCGUUAACUACAGAAGAAGCACCGGCUAACUCCGUGCCAGCAGCCGCGGUAAUAC